Molecule: ribosomal RNA, 406 nt
Filed under: uncultured bacterium
Lineage: Bacteria
Description: partial 16S ribosomal RNA
Rfam family: Bacterial small subunit ribosomal RNA
Source: RNAcentral
AUUGAACGCUGGCGGCAGGCCUAACACAUGCAAGUCGAACGAGUGGCGGACGGGUGAGUAAUGUCUGGGAAACUGCCUUAUGGAGGGGUAUAACUACUGGAAACGGUAGCUAAUACCGCAUACCCUCAGAUGUGCCCAGAUGGGAAUAGCUAGUUGGUGGGGUAACGGCUCACCAAGGCGACGAUCCCUAGCUGGUCUGCGAGGAUGACCAGCCACACUGGGACUGAGACACGGUCCAGACUCCUACGGGAGGCAGCAGUGGGGAAUAUUGGACAAUGGGCGCAAGCCUGAUGCAGCCAUGCCGCGUGUAUGAAGAAGGCCUUCGGGUUGUAAAGUACUUUCAGCGGGGAGGCGUUACCCGCAGAAGAAGCACCGGCUAACUCCGUGCCAGCCGCCGCGGUAAUUC